UGCCUGUGACGAAACACCCAACUUGUCUUAUCUCCUGUCCUGAUCCCAGAGCUAGCAAAGGUGAGCCCACUGGGACUGGCUGGGGGAAAAGAGAAAAUUUUAUUCCAGAAGGAGCUGUCUGAGGUAU
Erinaceus europaeus (western European hedgehog) is the source of this 127-nucleotide non-coding RNA. Lineage: Eukaryota; Metazoa; Chordata; Mammalia; Eulipotyphla; Erinaceidae. The record is from Rfam.